AUGCGAGCUUCCAAAGCCCCAGACGGCGAUUUCCUGAGACGGUUCAUUCUGUACGUAAUUGGUACUGUUCUAGCACCAACAACACAACAUUAUGUGGACUCGAAAUUUCUCAACCUUGUUACAGAUCUUGAAAACCUUCGGAAAUUUAACUGGGGAUGUUUCACACUUAAUCACUUCUUCAAGUCCGUUCACAAGUUUAGAAAUCGAGAUCACGUAAAUCUACAAGGAAAUCUAAUUCUGCUCCAGUAUUGGUACUGGGAGCACGUGCGUAGUGGCCGAUUAAUGUAUGCUUCUAGACCCCCUCCAUUGAUCGCAUGA
This 318-nucleotide ribosomal RNA is filed under the name Triticum aestivum (bread wheat). Its description in RNAcentral is "partial small subunit ribosomal RNA". The record is from RNAcentral. Lineage: Eukaryota; Viridiplantae; Streptophyta; Magnoliopsida; Poales; Poaceae.